RNAcentral lists this ribosomal RNA (532 nucleotides) under uncultured bacterium. RNAcentral's name for it is "bacterial SSU rRNA". It matches the Rfam family "Bacterial small subunit ribosomal RNA", at positions 777 to 1308 of the family's 1533-position model. The record is from RNAcentral.
AAUAGAUACCCAGGUAGUCCACGCUGUAAACGUUGGGCGCUAGGUGUGGGGGGGCCUCUCCGGUUCCCUGUGCCGCAGCUAACGCAUUAAGCGCCCCGCCUGGGGAGUACGGCCGCAAGGCUAAAACUCAAAGGAAUUGACGGGGGGCCCGCACAAGCGGCGGAGCAUGCGGAUUAAUUCGAUGCAACGCGAAGAACCUUACCUGGGUUUGACAUGGCCGCAAAACUGUCAGAGAUGGCAGGUCCUUCGGGGCGGUCGACAGGUGGUGCAUGGCUGUCGUCAGCUCGUGUCGUGAGAUGUUGGUUAAGUCCCGCAACGAGCGCAACCCUCGUUCGAUGUUGCCAGCGCGUUAUGGCGGGGACUCAUCGAAGACUGCCGGGGUCAACUCGGAGGAAGGUGGGGAUGACGUCAAGUCAUCAUGCCCCUUAUGUCCAGGGCUUCACGCAUGCUACAAUGGCCGGUACAAUGGGCUGCGAUACCGUGAGGUGGAGCGAAUCCCGAAAAGCCGGUCUCAGUUCGGAUCGGGGUCUGC